This 2549-nucleotide ribosomal RNA is filed under the name Salmonella enterica. RNAcentral's name for it is "partial 23S ribosomal RNA". It matches the Rfam family "Bacterial large subunit ribosomal RNA", at positions 400 to 2925 of the family's 2925-position model. The record is from RNAcentral. Lineage: Bacteria; Pseudomonadati; Pseudomonadota; Gammaproteobacteria; Enterobacterales; Enterobacteriaceae.
UGAGCUCGAUGAGUAGGGCGGGACACGUGGUAUCCUGUCUGAAUAUGGGGGGACCAUCCUCCAAGGCUAAAUACUCCUGACUGACCGAUAGUGAACCAGUACCGUGAGGGAAAGGCGAAAAGAACCCCGGCGAGGGGAGUGAAAAAGAACCUGAAACCGUGUACGUACAAGCAGUGGGAGCACAGGUUUACCUGUGUGACUGCGUACCUUUUGUAUAAUGGGUCAGCGACUUAUAUUCUGUAGCAAGGUUAACCGUAUAGGGGAGCCGUAGGGAAACCGAGUCUUAACCGGGCGUUAAGUUGCAGGGUAUAGACCCGAAACCCGGUGAUCUAGCCAUGGGCAGGUUGAAGGUUGGGUAACACUAACUGGAGGACCGAACCGACUAAUGUUGAAAAAUUAGCGGAUGACCUGUGGCUGGGGGUGAAAGGCCAAUCAAACCGGGAGAUAGCUGGUUCUCCCCGAAAGCUAUUUAGGUAGCGCCUCGUGAAUUCAUCUCCGGGGGUAGAGCACUGUUUCGGCUAGGGGGCCAUCCCGGCUUACCAACCCGAUGCAAACUGCGAAUACCGGAGAAUGUUAUCACGGGAGACACACGGCGGGUGCUAACGUCCGUCGUGAAGAGGGAAACAACCCAGACCGCCAGCUAAGGUCCCAAAGUCAUGGUUAAGUGGGAAACGAUGUGGGAAGGCCCAGACAGCCAGGAUGUUGGCUUAGAAGCAGCCAUCAUUUAAAGAAAGCGUAAUAGCUCACUGGUCGAGUCGGCCUGCGCGGAAGAUGUAACGGGGCUAAACCAUGCACCGAAGCUGCGGCAGCGACGCUGAUGCGUUGUUGGGUAGGGGAGCGUUCUGUAAGCCUGUGAAGGUGGCCUGUGAGGGUUGCUGGAGGUAUCAGAAGUGCGAAUGCUGACAUAAGUAACGAUAAAGCGGGUGAAAAGCCCGCUCGCCGGAAGACCAAGGGUUCCUGUCCAACGUUAAUCGGGGCAGGGUGAGUCGACCCCUAAGGCGAGGCCGAAAGGCGUAGUCGAUGGGAAACGGGUUAAUAUUCCCGUACUUGGUGUUACUGCGAAGGGGGGACGGAGAAGGCUAUGUUGGCCGGGCGACGGUUGUCCCGGUUUAAGCGUGUAGGUGUGUGUUCCAGGUAAAUCCGGUUCACUUUAACACUGAGGCGUGAUGACGAGGCACUACGGUGCUGAAGCAACAAAUGCCCUGCUUCCAGGAAAAGCCUCUAAGCAUCAGGUAACAUCAAAUCGUACCCCAAACCGACACAGGUGGUCAGGUAGAGAAUACCAAGGCGCUUGAGAGAACUCGGGUGAAGGAACUAGGCAAAAUGGUGCCGUAACUUCGGGAGAAGGCACGCUGACACGUAGGUGAAGUGAUUUACUCAUGGAGCUGAAGUCAGUCGAAGAUACCAGCUGGCUGCAACUGUUUAUUAAAAACACAGCACUGUGCAAACACGAAAGUGGACGUAUACGGUGUGACGCCUGCCCGGUGCCGGAAGGUUAAUUGAUGGGGUCAGCGCAAGCGAAGCUCCUGAUCGAAGCCCCGGUAAACGGCGGCCGUAACUAUAACGGUCCUAAGGUAGCGAAAUUCCUUGUCGGGUAAGUUCCGACCUGCACGAAUGGCGUAAUGAUGGCCAGGCUGUCUCCACCCGAGACUCAGUGAAAUUGAACUCGCUGUGAAGAUGCAGUGUACCCGCGGCAAGACGGAAAGACCCCGUGAACCUUUACUAUAGCUUGACACUGAACAUUGAGCCUUGAUGUGUAGGAUAGGUGGGAGGCUUUGAAGCGUGGACGCCAGUCUGCAUGGAGCCGGCCUUGAAAUACCACCCUUUAAUGUUUGAUGUUCUAACGUGGACCCGUGAUCCGGGUUGCGGACAGUGUCUGGUGGGUAGUUUGACUGGGGCGGUCUCCUCCUAAAGAGUAACGGAGGAGCACGAAGGUUGGCUAAUCCUGGUCGGACAUCAGGAGGUUAGUGCAAUGGCAUAAGCCAGCUUGACUGCGAGCGUGACGGCGCGAGCAGGUGCGAAAGCAGGUCAUAGUGAUCCGGUGGUUCUGAAUGGAAGGGCCAUCGCUCAACGGAUAAAAGGUACUCCGGGGAUAACAGGCUGAUACCGCCCAAGAGUUCAUAUCGACGGCGGUGUUUGGCACCUCGAUGUCGGCUCAUCACAUCCUGGGGCUGAAGUAGGUCCCAAGGGUAUGGCUGUUCGCCAUUUAAAGUGGUACGCGAGCUGGGUUUAGAACGUCGUGAGACAGUUCGGUCCCUAUCUGCCGUGGGCGCUGGAGAACUGAGGGGGGCUGCUCCUAGUACGAGAGGACCGGAGUGGACGCAUCACUGGUGUUCGGGUUGUCAUGCCAAUGGCACUGCCCGGUAGCUAAAUGCGGAAGAGAUAAGUGCUGAAAGCAUCUAAGCACGAAACUUGCCCCGAGAUGAGUUCUCCCUGAGACUUAGAGUCUCCUGAAGGAACGUUGAAGACGACGACGUUGAUAGGCCGGGUGUGUAAGCGCAGCGAUGCGUUGAGCUAACCGGUACUAAUGAACCGUGAGGCUUAACCUU